RNAcentral lists this ribosomal RNA (440 nucleotides) under uncultured bacterium. RNAcentral's name for it is "partial 16S ribosomal RNA". It matches the Rfam family "Bacterial small subunit ribosomal RNA", at positions 338 to 795 of the family's 1533-position model. The record is from RNAcentral.
UCUACGGGUGGCAGCAGUGGGGGAUAUUGCACAAUGGGGGAAACCCUGAUGCAGCGACGCCGCGUGGGUGAAGAAGCGCCUCGGCGCGUAAAGCCCUGUCAGCAGGGAAGAAAAAGACGGUACCUGAAGAAGAAGCCCCGGCCAACCACGUGCCAGCAGCCGCGGUAAGACGUAGGGGGUAAGCGUUACCCGGAUUUCCGGGGUGUAAAGGGGGCGCAGACGGCGAUGCAAGCCAGGAGGGAAAGCCCGGGGCCCAACCCCGGGACUGCGCUUGGAACUGCGUGGCGUGAGUGCAGGAGGGGCAGGCGGAAGUCCUGGUGUAGCGGUGAAAUGCGUAGAUAUCAGGAGGAACACCGGUGGCGAAGGCGGCCUGCUGGACUGCAACUGACGUUGAGGCCCGAAAGCGUGGGGAGCGAACAGGAUUAGAUACCCCAGUAGUC